This 269-nucleotide ribosomal RNA is filed under the name uncultured prokaryote. RNAcentral describes it as "partial 16S ribosomal RNA". It matches the Rfam family "Bacterial small subunit ribosomal RNA", at positions 524 to 792 of the family's 1533-position model. The record is from RNAcentral.
CACGUAGGAGGCAAACGUUAUCCGGAUUUACUGGGCGUAAAGCGCGUGUAGGUGGUUCUGUAAGUAGGGCGUGAAAGCUCCCGGCUCAACUGGGAGAGGCCGUUCUAAACUGCAGAGCUAGAGGAUGGUAGAGGGAGGUGGAAUUCCAGGUGUAGCGGUGGAAUGCGCAGAUAUCUGGAGGAACACCAGUGGCGAAGGCGGCCUCCUGGACCAUUCCUGACACUCAGACGCGAAAGCUAGGGUAGCAAACGGGAUUAGAUACCCCUGUA